GUGUCAGCCGCCGCGGUAAUACGUAGGGUGCGAGCGUUAAUCGGAAUUACUGGGCGUAAAGCGUGCGCAGGCGGUUUUGUAAGUCAGAUGUGAAAUCCCCGAGCUCAACUUGGGAACUGCGUUUGAAGCUACAAGACUAGAAUAUGUCAGAGGGGGGUAGAAUUCCACGUGUAGCAGUGAAAUGCGUAGAGAUGUGGAGGAAUACCAAUGGCGAAGGCAGCCCCCUGGGAUAAUAUUGACGCUCAUGCACGAAAGCGUGGGGAGCAAACAGGAUUAGAUACCCUGGUAGUCCACGCCCUAA
This 301-nucleotide ribosomal RNA is filed under the name uncultured bacterium. RNAcentral's name for it is "bacterial SSU rRNA". It matches the Rfam family "Bacterial small subunit ribosomal RNA", at positions 505 to 805 of the family's 1533-position model. The record is from RNAcentral.